This 253-nucleotide ribosomal RNA is filed under the name uncultured bacterium. Its description in RNAcentral is "partial 16S ribosomal RNA". It matches the Rfam family "Bacterial small subunit ribosomal RNA", at positions 524 to 776 of the family's 1533-position model. The record is from RNAcentral.
UACGGAGGGGGCUAGCGUUGUUCGGAAUUACUGGGCGUAAAGCGCACGUAGGCGGCUUUGUAAGUUAGAGGUGAAAGCCCGGGGCUCAACUCCGGAACUGCCUUUAAGACUGCAUCGCUAGAAUUGUGGAGAGGUGAGUGGAAUUCCGAGUGUAGAGGUGAAAUUCGUAGAUAUUCGGAAGAACACCAGUGGCGAAGGCGACUCACUGGACAUAUAUUGACGCUGAGGUGCGAAAGCGUGGGGAGCAAACAGG